This 726-nucleotide ribosomal RNA is filed under the name Meloidogyne incognita (southern root-knot nematode). RNAcentral describes it as "SSU rRNA". It matches the Rfam family "Eukaryotic small subunit ribosomal RNA", at positions 201 to 939 of the family's 1831-position model. Lineage: Eukaryota; Metazoa; Nematoda; Chromadorea; Rhabditida; Meloidogynidae. The record is from RNAcentral.
GCGCAUUUAUUAGAACAAAACCACGCGGCUUCGGCUGCUUCUUGUUGACUCAGAAUAACUUAGCUGACCGCAUGGCCUUGUGCCGGCGGCGUGUCUUUCAAGCGUCCACUUUAUCAACUUGACGGGAGCAUAAUCGACUCCCGUGGUGGUGACGGAUAACGGAGGAUCAGGGUUCGACUCCGGAGAAGGGGCCUGAGAAAUGGCCACUACGUCUAAGGAUGGCAGCAGGCGCGCAAAUUACCCACUCUCGGCUCGAGGAGGUAGUGACGAGAAAUAACGAGACUGUUCUCUUUGAGGCCGGUCAUCGGAUUGGGUACAAUUUAAACCCUUUAACGAGUAUCAAGCAGAGGGCAAGUCUGGUGCCAGCAGCCGCGGUAAUUCCAGCUCUGCAAAUACAUAGAAUUAUUGCUGCGGUUAGAAAGCUCAUAGUUGGAUUCGUAUCGAUACCUUGGAACCCUUCGGGUGUCUCUAGGUGUUAUCGAUUUAUCGUAAUGUUCGGUUUUGAGUCCUUAACAGGAUUCUUAACAGGCAUUGCAAGUUUACUUUGAACAAAUCAGAGUGCUUCAAACAGGCGUUUUCGCUUGAAUGAUCGUGCAUGGAAUAAUAGAAAAUGAUUUCGGUUCAGUUUUAUUGGUUUUACGGACUGAGAUAAUGGUUAACAGAGACAAACGGGGGCAUUUGUAUGGUCCCGUGAGAGGUGUUUGUAUGGUCCCGUGAGAGGUUGAU